AUGCGUCCAUCACAAUUAUGUGAUCUCUCCCACACCUUGCCCAUUGGAUCAGAUUCCAUUUUCACCGUUAACAACACCAUCGAGGACGACCAGCGGCGAGACCACCGCGCAAACCCGUCCCCGCCGCGAGCACACAAAGCGACGCUGCAACCAUCCACCAAAGAACCGUACGACGCAGCAGCCAAAACCGACAAACACCGUCACUGUCUAAUUGAAGCUGCCAUUAGCGGCCGCUCCUCACCACCGGCCGCCGCAGUCCGCUCAUGA
Molecule: non-coding RNA, 267 nt
Organism: Vicia faba (fava bean)
Lineage: Eukaryota; Viridiplantae; Streptophyta; Magnoliopsida; Fabales; Fabaceae
Source: the annotation of a GenBank genome assembly